UGAUGAUGAAAAAUGGAAGGAUGAAGGGGAUGAGCGAUGGUUGUGAUUUUGUGGUUUAGGGCUUGGAUGAUGGAGACUAGAAGGCUCAUCUCCACCUCAUUGCCUGCGGUUUAGGGCAUGUUUAUGUGGUAGGUAAUGAUUGAUUAGUUUGUGAUAAAUACUCAUCAUUUACUCUUGGAGUCUCUCUUACGUUAAUUGAGCUGAACAACAUUCCUAACUGUUUACGCAUUGGACCGUAGAUGGCUACCAAAAGACAGGUUGUUUCAAUUUGUUGACCCCAGGUUUCAUACAAGUCAGCACUGAAGCACCCCUUGGCCCUUGGGACCCUUUUACAACCAAUUUCUACUCUUGGAGACCCCUAUUUGUAACGGUACAGUUGAUUCAAAAGUGCGGAAAAGGGUAACGGUCAGCCAGUCUCAAUUCAAUUCAUCCUCUGUUUUUACUUCUAGAGGAAUACAGUCCUUCACAAGUAAAGCUUAGAACCCAGUGGCAGCCCAGUUGGCAUUUGGCAAGGGAGACAGCUUCGAGAAAGUGAAGGGCCUUGACUAUUCAAUUCGACUUGCUUCACGGGUUUAUCUAUGUUGGUGGGUCACUGGGGUCUAAUGGAAAAUGUGGGGUGUUUGCCAGCAAAGUCUUCCUCGUCUGCAGUUCGUUCAUGGUCCCUUCGGGAAGACACUAGGAGAUGGAGAUCAGGUAAAUGCUCCUUUCUCUAACACCUUGGGAGCUUGGACUUGGACUAUGGGUAAUCCGUACGUUAGAGCUCAAUGGGUUCUCAGCACCAGAAAGGAGGAGGGCUGACAGAUUCCAAAAGAAUCAAGGAGAGACUUGUUUGGGCAUAUAUUCCUUAUCAGACAGGAGCUAAAGUAAUAGUGCUACUCAUCCCCGUCCCGUGAGUCCAUUAUCCCUUCUACUGUCUUAUACUCUUUAAUUCUUUAUACCUCUGACACUGGAAAACCAAAUUGCCUGUGUGAGAAUAUGAAGAUUUCCGAGCAAUCUUCAGGCUUUUGGAUAUGAGAUCGCAUGACCCUUACGGACACCCAUGGCCCCAUGGUCCUGCCCGCUCCUGCCGUGCCCACUGCCACCCUCCAAUGUCCAAUCCAAUGGUUACCUGCAGUCCUUCAUUUUUCCAUCAAUCCCUUGCGUGGGUAGUUAAUGGUGUCACAAGUGUAUGUGACGUUUUAGGAAUUCACGUACAGGUCGAUCUGAACUGUCCAUUUUUAUGGUUUUUCUUAUCUAAAUAGUUUUUUUCUAAAACCAUCAAUCCCUUGCAUGGGUAGUUAAUGGUGUCUCAAUUGUAUGUGACGUUUAGGAAUUCACGUA
Molecule: long non-coding RNA, 1320 nt
Organism: Macadamia integrifolia
Lineage: Eukaryota; Viridiplantae; Streptophyta; Magnoliopsida; Proteales; Proteaceae
Exons: 3
Source: RefSeq, a predicted model, not a curated record